Molecule: ribosomal RNA, 484 nt
Filed under: uncultured bacterium
Lineage: Bacteria
Description: partial 16S ribosomal RNA
Rfam family: Bacterial small subunit ribosomal RNA
Source: RNAcentral
AGUGAACGCUGGCGGCGUGCUUUACACAUGCAAGUCGAACGAGAACGGAUUAUAGCUUGCUAUAAUUGUCAGCUAAGUGGCGCACGGGUGAGUAAUGUAUAGGUAAUAUGCCUCUUACUAAGGGAUAACAAAUGGAAACGUUUGCUAUUACCUUAUACUCCUUAUUAACAGAAGUUAAUAAGGGAAAGAUUUAUUGGUAAGAGAUUAGCCUGUAUUGUAUCAGUUAGUUGGUGGGGUAAUGGCUUACCAAGACUAUGACACAUAACUGGUUUGCUCUCCUGCUCAGUCACACUGGAACUGAGACGCUCUCCCCCCUCCUACGGGAGGCAGCAGUGGUUCCUCUUCCCCAAUGGACGAAAGUCUGAUGCAGCAACGCCUCCUUUCUUCUUCCCCAUUUCGUUGCGUCCCCUCCUUUUCUCUGAGAAGAUAAUGACGGUAUUCUCUGCCUCCGCACCGGCUAACUCCGUGCCAGCAGCCGCGGUAA